This 474-nucleotide ribosomal RNA is filed under the name uncultured bacterium. Its description in RNAcentral is "bacterial SSU rRNA". It matches the Rfam family "Bacterial small subunit ribosomal RNA", at positions 25 to 518 of the family's 1533-position model. The record is from RNAcentral.
CAGGAUAAACGCUGGCGGCGUGCUCAGGCAUGCAAGUCGAACGAGUGGCCACCUUCGGGUGGUCUACUAGUGGCGGACGGGUGAGUAACGCGUUAGCAACCUGCCCAAAAGUGGGGAAUAACUAACCGAAAGGUUAGCUAAUACCGCAUGUGAUAGCCGGUCCUUGGACUGGUUAUGAAAGGCUUCGGUCGCUUUUGGAGGGGCUUGCGUCAGAUUAGCUAGUUGGUGGGGUAAUGGCCUACCAAGGCGACGAUCUGUAGCUGGUCUGAGAGGACGAUCAGCCACACGGGGACUGAGAUACGGCCCCGACUCCUACGGGAGGCAGCAGCUAGGAAUCUUGGGAAUGGGCGAAAGCCUGACCCAAGCAACGCCGCGUGGGCGAUGAAGGCCUUCGGGUCGUAAAGCCCUUCUGCAGGGGACGAUGAUGACGGUACCCUGCGAAUAAGCCACGGCUAACUACGUGCCAGCAGCGGC